Molecule: long non-coding RNA, 350 nt
Organism: Oryzias melastigma (Indian medaka)
Lineage: Eukaryota; Metazoa; Chordata; Actinopteri; Beloniformes; Adrianichthyidae
Exons: 3
Source: RefSeq, a predicted model, not a curated record
AGAAAUUAAAGCGUAAAAUAAUGUACAACUGAAGACUACAGAAGAUUUUAGGACUUGUUUUGAUGCAUACUAACAUAAAUAGCAACAAAUUGAAGAUUACUUUCAUGUAGUUCUCUAAAAAUAAACAUGUUAGCCUGAUAGCAUGCAGCUUGUUUAAGCUAACAUGGUGGGCUAACACUUCCUGGUUGUAGCUCAGGACAAAGAACGACAUGAUAACAAGGACUCUGAGGAGAAGUGAUGUGGUUGGAGUGUUUCUUGCUCCAUCUUUGUACCACUGGACAACACCGUCGGCCCUUGACACUUCACAGGACAAAAAAACGUUUGGGAGUAUCACCUUUCACCUCUUUACA